Molecule: ribosomal RNA, 497 nt
Filed under: uncultured bacterium
Lineage: Bacteria
Description: partial 16S ribosomal RNA
Rfam family: Bacterial small subunit ribosomal RNA
Source: RNAcentral
GAUGAACGCUGGCGGCGUGCCUAAUACAUGCAAGUCGAGCGAACGGACGAGAAGCUUGCUUUUCUGAUGUUAGCGGCGGACGGGUGAGUAACACGUGGAUAACCUACCUAUAAGACUGGGAUAACUUCGGGAAACCGGAGCUAAUACCGGAUAAUAUUUUGAACCGCAUGGUUCAAAAGUGAAAGACGGUCUUGCUGUCACUUAUAGAUGGAUCCGCGCUGCAUUGGCUAGUUGGUAAGGUAACGGCUUACCAAGGCAACGAUGCAUAGCCGACCUGAGAGGGUGAUCGGCCACACUGGAACUGAGACACGGUCCAGACUCCUACGGGAGGCAGCAGUAGGGAAUCUUCCGCAAUGGGCGAAAGCCUGACGGAGCAACGCCGCGUGAGUGAUGAAGGUCUUCGGAUCGUAAAACUCUGAUAUUAGGGAAGAACAUAUGUGUAAGUAACUGUGCACAUCUUGACGGUACCUAAUCAGAAAGCCACGGCUAACUACGUG